Long non-coding RNA from Hippocampus comes (tiger tail seahorse), 298 nucleotides. RefSeq lists it as uncharacterized. The transcript has 2 exons. Lineage: Eukaryota; Metazoa; Chordata; Actinopteri; Syngnathiformes; Syngnathidae. The record is from RefSeq and is a predicted model, not a curated record.
UGCUAGAUAUCGUCAUUAUGAUUAAGAUACGGGACUGAUUUGUUAUCGCUAACCAGCAGCAUUUCUCUGUACAACAUUAAAUAAAGGGAAACUUGUAUUUGUUUGUUUUGAUGAAUAAAGCUCUAAAAAGACUUAUCGAAACAUGUUAAAGCCUUUUCUAAAAAGUUCUUUUGCUUUUCCUUAUGAGGAGUAUUUUGUUGCCACGCGUUCAGACCCGCUGAGUUCGAUGUGCUGCUUGGUGGAGUGAGUGUUGAGCGGGGCUGCGUGACAGAUUCGUUUUUUUUAGAAAGCAGUGGGC